CAGUAGCCGCGGUAAGACAGAGGAUGCAAGCGUUAUCCGGAAUGAUUGGGCGUAAAGCGUCUGUAGGUGGCUUUUCAAGUCCGCCGUCAAAUCCCAGGGCUCAACCUGGGAACUGCAUUUGAGACUGUAUGGCUAGAGUGUGUCAGAGGGGGGUAGAAUUCCACGUGUAGCAGUGAAAUGCGUAGAUAUGUGGAGGAAUACCGAUGGCGAAGGCAGCCCCCUGGGAUAACACUGACGCUCAUGCACGAAAGCGUGGGGAGCAAACAGGAUUAGAUACCCCAGUAGUCCCUGUCUCUUAUAC
This 301-nucleotide ribosomal RNA is filed under the name uncultured bacterium. Its description in RNAcentral is "partial 16S ribosomal RNA". It matches the Rfam family "Bacterial small subunit ribosomal RNA", at positions 509 to 807 of the family's 1533-position model. The record is from RNAcentral.